GUUAGCAGAAGAAGGAUCAAAUCCUGGAAAAUGAAGUACAUCCAUUAGUUCAAGGGUGCAGCAGGCAAAAAGAACAUCUUUCUGCUAAGCCAAUCUUGAUCAUAAUUAAUUUAAGCAUCUGUUCAAUUAAAUUUGAUAAUCAACUAAAAAUUAAAUGACCAUCAGAGUAAUAGUCAAACGUGGAAUUUCAGCAGGUAGGAUGAAGGAGCAGAAGUGAAU
Molecule: unclassified non-coding RNA, 219 nt
Filed under: Hevea brasiliensis (rubber tree)
Lineage: Eukaryota; Viridiplantae; Streptophyta; Magnoliopsida; Malpighiales; Euphorbiaceae
Source: RNAcentral